UUGAUUUGUAGUUUAAAUUUUAAUCAUGAGAAAAAUCUUACUAUGUCUGAAGCUUAUGUAACCGGAUAACACAUGAUAGUUGACUGUUUUGACCAAUCUAGUUCAAGUUUUUCGUAAUUGUCUUAUGGGGGAAAAUCUUGGUUAAAAUCUGAGAAAAUAAAUGAACUGUCAGUAAAGGCUAAAAUGAAAAAAGAAAAUAAAGUUUGGAGGAACCUCAGGGUAUGUAUUAAAUUUUUUUUUGAAAAAAGAAAUAAAAAUAGAAAAUCCAAAAAACACAAGAAG
This 282-nucleotide long non-coding RNA is filed under the name Panax ginseng (ginseng). Its description in RNAcentral is "long non-coding RNA (PGIN_LNC008283)". Lineage: Eukaryota; Viridiplantae; Streptophyta; Magnoliopsida; Apiales; Araliaceae. The record is from RNAcentral.